UUGAUUUUGAUAAAAUCUAAUUUAUCACUUUUUUCUUUUAUAGGUCAUGCUUUCGUGUUAUAUGAGAAAACUCUGCCUAACUCAAGGAGGGUCUCAUGCUUGUGUCGGUGCCACAGCUGAAGGCCACCAAGAGGAUAUCCGAAGAUUAACAAGCUGGGUUUAUUACUCGUUUUAGCAAGAAAGAACACACACGGUGAAGAACAACGAGGAGUCUCAGUAGGAGAAGGAGGAAGUUGGGGAAGAGCGAGGCGAAGGAGUAGUAUCUUGUUCCGUCGGCAUCCUCGAUCCAAGGCUUUCUUGCGAAUUCGUUUUUACCACAUUUAAAGUGUGAUGCCCAGAAUGGAACUCGGAGCUGCUGGCGCCCCCAUCCAUCUUUGGAGGCUGCGGACAUAAUCAAUGGAGCAGGCAGAGGACCUGCAGUCCCAAGCCUGCUAGUUGGUGAGCCUGGAAUUGCUAUGCUCUUAGUAUCAUGUGUUCCAACUAUAAAUGCUUUCAGCAGCUUUUCCCACUGGCCACUUGGUCAUAUCUGUACCCAGACUGAACCAGUUCCUGACCCCAGGCCCUCCCCACCAUGCCCAUCCUACUGGGCUGCGGCUGCCUAUUGGGGCCACACCCUCCUGCCUGUAUAACCCUAACUUUGGAGCCUGCCGGUCCUGCCUGAGCUGCUCUUGCCUUUUGGAAACCAAGGAUUGAGCAUUGUUCCCUGAGUGUAUUUUUGGUUAUGACUUUCUCUUUUCUCCACAGAAAGGCAUCUCUCUGCAGGUGUUGGGCUUUCUCUGAGCUCAGCGGCUGCUCUUGGCCUUCUUUCUCCAGUUCCUGUCCUCCUCUACCAGUCUUGAGACCGCGGUGUGGAGUUAUGUCCCCUCUGUUUUGUCUGGCUGCUUCUGUCUGGGACGAUGGAAUCCUCAUUAAAUGGGAAAUGUUUAUGGAGGAGGGAGAUGGGGAAGUCAUUCACUCCUGUUAACAUUUCGGCUCAAGUUAGCUUAUUCAUAUGAAUGACACAAAGUCAUAAAUUGCUCCUAAUCAAAUCUGUGCACACAGUAAAGCCUCUUUUAUGCAAUGAGUGUUUACUUAAUUGAAUGUUACAUAUAAACGAAGGUUACUCCUUCAAGGGACAAACGUGAGGGAUUUCAAUGGAAAAUUCUGAAAAUGAGCCCCUGAAGGAAGGAAGAUGGGAGGUGAAAGAUGCUGAAAGAGAACAGAAUGGGGCCAAGAUGCUCCGGGAGAGCACCAUGGGAAUCCCAGUUGCUCUUGCGUUUCACUUCCAACGGCAAAACGAGGAUGAUGAAUUGCUUUCUGAGAAUCCCUUCCUCUUGCAGGGACUUUUGGCCAGAGACUUGUCCAUAAUAGGUUCUGCAUCAUGUCAGAGCCCUAAACCAUAAUGAAACACCAUUGCGUUUAUUAGAGUCCUCGUUGUGUUACCUUAGAUUCUUCCCCACAAGGGCAAACCCCCAGUAUUGAUGUCAAUGCUCCAUCAGAUUCUCCUGGUGUUAGACGGAAACGUGAGGCUGGAUCUGCUAAGUAACCUUCCACUCCUGUGUACUACAGAGGCCCUUCUGUAAGCCCCACCCACAGGGGAGCCAGACCUCUGCACCACAGAUCACGUACAGAAACUAAAAUGAAUGCUGACUCUCAGGAGGUCAUGAUAGGACUCAUUAUCUUGUCAUUUUUUUUUCAGAGCCCCAGAAGUUUGCAAUGAUAAAAACAAGAGCAUUUCAUGGGAAACAGCAUGCAAAAGCCCUUGCAUGCUGUCUAUUUUUAUAUAAAUCAGCAGAAGAUAAAGAGCUUGUCUUGAUUCAUGCUGUUCCUCCAGGGAAUGUUUUGAAAAAAGGCAAAAAAAUCAGUGAGAAGAGCGACGCCUAUAAAUACAGUCGGAAAGGAAAAUAAAAACAGCCCACUAAACGCUGAGUUUGACAAAAACCUAACAAAACCAAGGAACAUUUUUAUGUUUUUUCCUUUCAGUUUUACUUUUGAUCAUGUUUCUUCCUGAGGUUUUAUGAAUGUAUACAUCAAGUGGGAGAGACAAAGUCCCCAAAUAAUUGUAGAAUGAUGAGAAUGUAGGAAAGAGAAUGUAAGCCCUUGUAUUCCAUGUUAUUUUUCUCAGAAAAACUUACAGUUCCACAUUUCCCCUUCUGAUUUUCACUGGAAAGCAGUUUUCAUCUGAAAUGAAAUAAGUGAGGAUCAUGAGUUUGCCUGUAUGUCUUAUUUGAAGCCCGCGCCGUGUAGUGUCCUCACUUUCAAACCCGUGUCUCGAGUUUACCCUUCAAUUCCUGAAAGUCUGAAAUUUUAGAGGGACAAAGGAAAAUUAAGAAUUAAACUAAAAAGAGUUAAAUCGUGGUUAACAAACAUUUCUGUAAAAGGGGCAGGAAGUAAAUAUUUUCUGCAUUGUGGGCCACAAUUCAACCCAGCUCUGCCAUCAUAGCACAAAAGCAGCAAGGGACAAGAUGCAAACAGAGGGUGUGGCUGUGCACAUGAUUUUCACCUGUCAUAAAAUAUUAAUAUUCCUUUCAUUUUUUUCCAACCAUUUAACAGUGUAAGAAUGAUUCUUAGCUCAUGGGUUCUAUAGAAACAGGUGACAGCUGGACUUGACCCACGGGUCAUAGUUUGCUGACCUUUGUACUAAAUCAUGCUCUCGAUCCGACGUACCCUUAAAGUUGCUCUGAUAGACACAUUUCAACACUGGAAAACGGUAUGUGGAUUCAUCUGCUUUAUUGAAUACUGUUACUUUUGAUUACUGACCUCUGUCUUGGUUAAAGAUGCCAAGAACUUAAGCAUGACUCAGCAGGUGUUCUGUGACCUUGGGUCACAGGCCAGGGAGGAUGACAUAAAUAGGGUCAGAUGGCAUGUUGUAGUGGGAACCAUAAUGAUAGCAGCAGCUAAUGAAGCAGAACUGACUGUGUGUCUGGGACUGUUUGAAGGGCUUUAGAACACUUGCCCAGCUAGUCAACAUGAUGAACCUAGGAGAAAGGUGCUAACAUUCUCAUUGUGGAAAUAGAGAAAGAGGCACAGGAGGUUGACUGACCUACUCAAGAUGACAUACAGUCCAAGUGAAAGCAUCUGCUCCCACACUUGGGUGGGCCAAUCCAGGAACCACCCUGACCCAUUCCACUACAGAGAGGAGAGUUCUUCCCUGCCAACGACACAUCCUGAGAGAGGAGAGCAAUGAAAUAAAACUGAUAUGAAAAUCAUGAGCAAUGAAAUGAAAUGAAACUUGUAGAGCUGCUUAAUCUAAGAGUAAACAAAUUCUGCCAUAAAUGCCAAGGCUCCUGGCAAGUGACAGAAAUCAACAUUGACUAACUGAAGCUCACCUAAGUAGAAUGACCAGGUUGAGCGUCCCGAGAGCUGAGCCCAGAGACUAAAGCACUGUCCUAAGGAUGCCCCCUCCAUCCCUUGCCACCUCACAUCUCUGCCAUCUCCAUUCCACUUUUCAGAUCAGUCUCAUUGUUUCUCACUACAAUGAAACAAUGGUCAGGUGGUAAAAGUUGCUUCUGACAGCCCUACCCUAGAAGCUGGUAGGUCAAAUCAUGAGAGUAAGCUCCCUUCCCAUCAACUCCAGGGAAAAGUCCAGGGAGCUGCUCCAGUUACCUUCCAGUGGUGGUCAAAUGCUCUCCGAGAGUGAGUGCUAUGGGUGCUCUGGUGCCAUUUCCUCAGCCUGUUAUGAGCUCAACACAAUAUCCGGAGAGAGGGAGGUAACUGCCAGUCCCAUGGACACAUGGAUUAGGAAUAGAAUUCCCCAAAGAAGAGACCCAGGCACACUAGAGUCAGAGAGAACGGGCUCCUCAGCUGGUGUGACUGAACUCCAGGGAGCCCAGAGUAAGAAAGGACCCUUGACACCCUCCAGGAGACCCCAGGUAAGCCCAUAACAAAACUUCAUUAUAUUUCAGCUGAUUAGACUGGCUCAAAGAGAACCAAAAUGAUAGCAACUGGGUGUUUCCCUAGCAUUAGAAUCAUUGUGUGAAGUGGUUCUGGCUAAGCUCUAGCACACAGGUUUUCAGGUAGACUUUCCAUAGUCAGAUACAUAAACACACAGACACUCACAUGUGCACACGUGCAUGCACACUCGCACACGUGCACGCACCAUGCACAAACACAUGCACGCACACACGGGCA
Non-coding RNA from Chlorocebus sabaeus (green monkey), 4110 nucleotides. The record is from RefSeq and is a predicted model, not a curated record. Lineage: Eukaryota; Metazoa; Chordata; Mammalia; Primates; Cercopithecidae.